This 676-nucleotide ribosomal RNA is filed under the name uncultured Bacteroidota bacterium. Its description in RNAcentral is "SSU rRNA". It matches the Rfam family "Bacterial small subunit ribosomal RNA", at positions 242 to 918 of the family's 1533-position model. Lineage: Bacteria; Pseudomonadati; Bacteroidota. The record is from RNAcentral.
CAGGUAGUUGGCGGGGUAACGGCCCACCAAGCCUGCGAUCAGUAACUGGUGUGAGAGCACGACCAGUCACACGGGCACUGAGACACGGGCCCGACUCCUACGGGAGGCAGCAGUAAGGAAUAUUGGUCAAUGGACGCAAGUCUGAACCAGCUAUGCCGCGUGAAGGAUGACGGCCCUCUGGGUUGUAAACUUCUUUUAUCUGGGACGAAAAAAGCUCUUUCUAGAGCACUUGACGGUACCAGAGGAAUAAGCACCGGCUAACUCCGUGCCAGCAGCCGCGGUAAUACGGAGGGUGCAAGCGUUAUCCGGAUUUACUGGGUUUAAAGGGUGCGUAGGUGGGCAGGUAAGUCAGUGGUGAAAUCUCCGAGCUUAACUCGGAAACUGCCAUUGAUACUAUCUGUCUUGAAUUAUCUGGAGGUGAGCGGAAUAUGUCAUGUAGCGGUGAAAUGCUUAGAUAUGACAUAGAACACCAAUUGCGAAGGCAGCUCACUACGGAUAUAUUGACACUGAGGCACGAAAGCGUGGGGAUCAAACAGGAUUAGAUACCCUGGUAGUCCACGCCCUAAACGAUGGAUACUCGACAUCAGCGAUACACUGUUGGUGUCUGAGCGAAAGCAUUAAGUAUCCCACCUGGGAAGUACGAUCGCAAGAUUGAAACUCAAAGGAAUUGACGGAA